This 412-nucleotide ribosomal RNA is filed under the name bacterium Ellin402. RNAcentral describes it as "bacterial SSU rRNA". It matches the Rfam family "Bacterial small subunit ribosomal RNA", at positions 9 to 426 of the family's 1533-position model. The record is from RNAcentral. Lineage: Bacteria; Bacillati; Actinomycetota; Actinomycetes; Micromonosporales; Micromonosporaceae.
UAGUUGAUCAUGGCUCAGGACGAACGCUGGCGGCGUGCUUAACACAUGCAAGUCGAGCGGAAAGGCCCUUCGGGGUACUCGAGCGGCGAACGGGUGAGUAACACGUGAGUAACCUGCCCUAGGCUUUGGGAUAACCCUCGGAAACGGGGGCUAAUACCGAAUAUUCAUGCUGGACGGCAUCGUUUGGUGUGGAAAGUUUUUCGGCUUGGGAUGGGCUCGCGGCCUAUCAGCUUGUUGGUGGGGUGAUGGCCUACCAAGGCGACGACGGGUAGCCGGCCUGAGAGGGCGACCGGCCACACUGGGACUGAGACACGGCCCAGACUCCUACGGGAGGCAGCAGUGGGGAAUAUUGCACAAUGGGCGGAAGCCUGAUGCAGCGACCCCGCGUGAGGGAUGAAGGCCUUCGKGUUGU